GGAGUAUGGACCGUUCUCAGUUCCAUUGUGGCCGUUCAACCUCUCAGUCCGGCUACGCAUCAUCGCCUUGGUAAGCCUUCACCUCACCAACUAGCUAAUGCGCCGCAGGCCCCUCUCUAAGUGAUAAAUCUUUAAACAUCUAAAGAUGCCUUCAUAUGUCCUAUCCAGUAUUAUCCAUCGUUUCCAAUGGUUAUCCUCGGCUUAAAGACAGGUUACCUACGUGUUACUCACCCGUUCGCCAUGGUAUUGCUACCAUUCGACUUGCAUGUAUUAGGCACGCCGCCAGCGUUAAUC
Molecule: ribosomal RNA, 294 nt
Filed under: uncultured Anaeroplasma sp.
Lineage: Bacteria; Bacillati; Mycoplasmatota; Mollicutes; Anaeroplasmatales; Anaeroplasmataceae
Description: partial 16S ribosomal RNA
Source: RNAcentral